CCCUUAGAUGUUCUGGGCCGCACGCGCGCUACACUGAUGCAUUCAACGAGCCUAUCCUUGACCGACAAGUCCGGGUAAUCUUUGAAUCUGCAUCGUGACGGGGAUAGAUUAUUGCAAUUAUUAAUCUUCAACGAGGAAUGCCUAGUAGGCGCAAGUCAUCAGCUUGCGUCGAUUACGUCCCUGCCCUUUGUACACACCGCCCGUCGCUCCUACCGAUUGGGUGUGCUGGUGAAAUGUUCGGAUCGGCCGUUUGUCGCGGUUUCCGCGUCAUGUGGCUGAGAAGUUCAUUAAACCCUCCCACCUAGAGGAAGGGGAAGUCGUAACA
This 325-nucleotide ribosomal RNA is filed under the name uncultured eukaryote. RNAcentral describes it as "partial 18S ribosomal RNA". It matches the Rfam family "Eukaryotic small subunit ribosomal RNA", at positions 1470 to 1796 of the family's 1831-position model. The record is from RNAcentral.